GCCAGUUUUACUACCGGUUCUAUAGAACCGGUGCGAACCGGAGGCAACCCACCACUGCCUUAGAUGAAUAAAAUUAUAAUUAUUCAAUAGAUACCUUUAAGGGCUACUUGGUUGAGUAGUAGCUUAGAACUCAGCUUGAUGUUUUCUUGGCCUGGUCCAUGCUCAAUGUUUAUCUUGUACGUUUGUUUGUUUUUGGCUUAGAGUGCUAUCUGAUCUAGUGACUGUGAUUUGUCAACUAUCCAGGGAUUGCAGUACGUUGCCUGAAGAACCAGUGUGAGAUAUUUAAAUGCCGUCACUAUGUUUGGAUGACAGUGACUGUAAUGAGAAUCGGGCACAACAUGAAUAUAUUGUGAUGACAAGCACUGCGAAUGCAAGACUGUGAAACUGACACCCAUCCUAAGCUUAUUCUUUGCCAUUAAAAAAAAAAAAGUGUUAAA
This is a non-coding RNA of Pantherophis guttatus, 437 nucleotides long. Lineage: Eukaryota; Metazoa; Chordata; Lepidosauria; Squamata; Colubridae. The record is from RefSeq and is a predicted model, not a curated record.